This 440-nucleotide ribosomal RNA is filed under the name uncultured bacterium. Its description in RNAcentral is "partial 16S ribosomal RNA". It matches the Rfam family "Bacterial small subunit ribosomal RNA", at positions 338 to 795 of the family's 1533-position model. The record is from RNAcentral.
CCUACGGGAGGCAGCAGUGGGGGAUAUUGCACAAUGGGGGGAACCCUGAUGCAGCGACGCCGCGUGGGUGAAGAAGCGCCUCGGCGCGUAAAGCCCUGUCAGCAGGGAAGAAAAUGACGGUACCUGAAGAAGAAGCCCCGGCUAACUACGUGCCAGCAGCCGCGGUAAUACGUAGGGGGCAAGCGCUAUCCGGAUUUACUGGGUGGAAAGGGGGCGGAGACGGCGAUGCAAGCAGGGUGUGAAAGCCCGGGGCCCAACCCCGGGACUGCUCUUGGGACUGGGGGGCUGGAGUGCAGGAGGGGCAGGCGGAAUUCCUGGUGUAGCGGUGAAAUGCGUAGAGAUCAGGAGGAACACCGGUGGCGAAGGCGGCCUGCUGGACUGCAACUGACGUUGAGGCCCGAAAGCGUGGGGAGCAAACAGGAUUAGAUACCCCAGUAGUC